This 2540-nucleotide ribosomal RNA is filed under the name Escherichia coli. Its description in RNAcentral is "partial 23S ribosomal RNA". It matches the Rfam family "Bacterial large subunit ribosomal RNA", at positions 417 to 2925 of the family's 2925-position model. The record is from RNAcentral. Lineage: Bacteria; Pseudomonadati; Pseudomonadota; Gammaproteobacteria; Enterobacterales; Enterobacteriaceae.
GCGGGACACGUGGUAUCCUGUCUGAAUAUGGGGGGACCAUCCUCCAAGGCUAAAUACUCCUGACUGACCGAUAGUGAACCAGUACCGUGAGGGAAAGGCGAAAAGAACCCCGGCGAGGGGAGUGAAAAAGAACCUGAAACCGUGUACGUACAAGCAGUGGGAGCCUCUUAAUGGGGUGACUGCGUACCUUUUGUAUAAUGGGUCAGCGACUUAUAUUCUGUAGCAAGGUUAACCGAAUAGGGGAGCCGAAGGGAAACCGAGUCUUAACUGGGCGUUAAGUUGCAGGGUAUAGACCCGAAACCCGGUGAUCUAGCCAUGGGCAGGUUGAAGGUUGGGUAACACUAACUGGAGGACCGAACCGACUAAUGUUGAAAAAUUAGCGGAUGACUUGUGGCUGGGGGUGAAAGGCCAAUCAAACCGGGAGAUAGCUGGUUCUCCCCGAAAGCUAUUUAGGUAGCGCCUCGUGAAUUCAUCUCCGGGGGUAGAGCACUGUUUCGGCAAGGGGGUCAUCCCGACUUACCAACCCGAUGCAAACUGCGAAUACCGGAGAAUGUUAUCACGGGAGACACACGGCGGGUGCUAACGUCCGUCGUGAAGAGGGAAACAACCCAGACCGCCAGCUAAGGUCCCAAAGUCAUGGUUAAGUGGGAAACGAUGUGGGAAGGCCCAGACAGCCAGGAUGUUGGCUUAGAAGCAGCCAUCAUUUAAAGAAAGCGUAAUAGCUCACUGGUCGAGUCGGCCUGCGCGGAAGAUGUAACGGGGCUAAACCAUGCACCGAAGCUGCGGCAGCGACACUAUGUGUUGUUGGGUAGGGGAGCGUUCUGUAAGCCUGUGAAGGUGGCCUGUGAGGGUUGCUGGAGGUAUCAGAAGUGCGAAUGCUGACAUAAGUAACGAUAAAGCGGGUGAAAAGCCCGCUCGCCGGAAGACCAAGGGUUCCUGUCCAACGUUAAUCGGGGCAGGGUGAGUCGACCCCUAAGGCGAGGCCGAAAGGCGUAGUCGAUGGGAAACAGGUUAAUAUUCCUGUACUUGGUGUUACUGCGAAGGGGGGACGGAGAAGGCUAUGUUGGCCGGGCGACGGUUGUCCCGGUUUAAGCGUGUAGGCUGGUUUUCCAGGCAAAUCCGGAAAACCAAGGCUGAGGCGUGAUGACGAGGCACUACGGUGCUGAAGUGACAAAUGCCCUGCUUCCAGGAAAAGCCUCUAAGCAUCAGGUAACAUCAAAUCGUACCCCAAACCGACACAGGUGGUCAGGUAGAGAAUACCAAGGCGCUUGAGAGAACUCGGGUGAAGGAACUAGGCAAAAUGGUGCCGUAACUUCGGGAGAAGGCACGCUGAUAUGUAGGUGAAGCGACUUGCUCGUGGAGCUGAAAUCAGUCGAAGAUACCAGCUGGCUGCAACUGUUUAUUAAAAACACAGCACUGUGCAAACACGAAAGUGGACGUAUACGGUGUGACGCCUGCCCGGUGCCGGAAGGUUAAUUGAUGGGGUUAGCGGUAACGCGAAGCUCUUGAUCGAAGCCCCGGUAAACGGCGGCCGUAACUAUAACGGUCCUAAGGUAGCGAAAUUCCUUGUCGGGUAAGUUCCGACCUGCACGAAUGGCGUAAUGAUGGCCAGGCUGUCUCCACCCGAGACUCAGUGAAAUUGAACUCGCUGUGAAGAUGCAGUGUACCCGCGGCAAGACGGAAAGACCCCGUGAACCUUUACUAUAGCUUGACACUGAACAUUGAGCCUUGAUGUGUAGGAUAGGUGGGAGGCUUUGAAGUGUGGACGCCAGUCUGCAUGGAGCCGACCUUGAAAUACCACCCUUUAAUGUUUGAUGUUCUAACGUUGGCCCGUAAUCCGGGUUGCGGACAGUGUCUGGUGGGUAGUUUGACUGGGGCGGUCUCCUCCUAAAGAGUAACGGAGGAGCACGAAGGUUGGCUAAUCCUGGUCGGACAUCAGGAGGUUAGUGCAAUGGCAUAAGCCAGCUUGACUGCGAGCGUGACGGCGCGAGCAGGUGCGAAAGCAGGUCAUAGUGAUCCGGUGGUUCUGAAUGGAAGGGCCAUCGCUCAACGGAUAAAAGGUACUCCGGGGAUAACAGGCUGAUACCGCCCAAGAGUUCAUAUCGACGGCGGUGUUUGGCACCUCGAUGUCGGCUCAUCACAUCCUGGGGCUGAAGUAGGUCCCAAGGGUAUGGCUGUUCGCCAUUUAAAGUGGUACGCGAGCUGGGUUUAGAACGUCGUGAGACAGUUCGGUCCCUAUCUGCCGUGGGCGCUGGAGAACUGAGGGGGGCUGCUCCUAGUACGAGAGGACCGGAGUGGACGCAUCACUGGUGUUCGGGUUGUCAUGCCAAUGGCACUGCCCGGUAGCUAAAUGCGGAAGAGAUAAGUGCUGAAAGCAUCUAAGCACGAAACUUGCCCCGAGAUGAGUUCUCCCUGAGACUUAGAGUCUCCUGAAGGAACGUUGAAGACGACGACGUUGAUAGGCCGGGUGUGUAAGCGCAGCGAUGCGUUGAGCUAACCGGUACUAAUGAACCGUGAGGCUUAACCUUACAACGCCGAAG